CAGUGUAGCAGAGCAUCACAGCAGAGCUGCAGCGCUUCGGGGCCUACACGCAGCGAUUAAUUGCAACUUCUCCAACUUUCCCGGUGUUCGUGCGCGAUCCGAGCAGACGGGGCUGUGGGCAGACAGCGCAGGGAAGGGCUCGGGCUGCAGCUGCCCCUUUGGGGCUCUCCGUGAGCCGGCGGUGCUGCUUUGGAAGCGCCCAACGCACGCCCUGCAGGUUCCGGAGCACUGCCUGGUGCUCAGCUGUCACUGGAGGUGCCCCCGUUCCUCCCAUUGCAGUACAGCGAAAGCCUCAAUCAAGAGCUGAAGUUAUUUGGUUUAAUUACAUGGCAUUUAAUUAGCGGAGAAAAACCAAUGCUUUUUUGGUGGUUUCUUGUCGUAAGGAGCAGCUAGAUGCUUCCCUAGCGGGGCAGUGCAGCAGUGUGAGUCAGAUGUGUGCAGUGCAGCGCUGGGGCUUCCCAGAGCAGUGGUUUAGGAAGAUCCCUGCUUCAGACAGGGGGCAGCCCUCGUGGCUUUGAUCACUGGUUGGUUCUGGCUUCUGUGCUGCGCUGUACAAGAAGGCAUUCUCUUGUGCUACGGUUCUGGAGCAGCCUCCAGGGAGGAGCAGGCUGCAGCCGGCGUGGCGGUGCGGCACACAGGCGUGCUUCCAGCUCUCAGCACUAAGUCACUGUCUAACAAGCGUGCCUCGCAUCAUGGGACAAAUGCUGUUCCAGAAAUAUCAGAGGUUAAUCCGAUGCACCAUCCCUUACAUAGCAUCGCAGUGUAACGCUUUGCUUGGGGUGGGGGGGGGUUCUGGCUCUCUCUUUUCCAUGCUUAUUGGAGUAUUGCUGCCACUUUUCCUCCUGGAAGCGGGGAGCGGCGUAAGGAAGGGCUGAGCAGCACCCAUAGUGCUGGGGCCAGCUCUGAACCGAUGGCCACUCGUUUCCAUUAGGGGUGAACUCGGCUUGGGGCUUUAGUAAAUGCUGACCGUGCUAUAGCCAGUAAUUGCAGAUGUAAAAAUAAGUGACCACGUUUUGUUUAUUCGCGUGCAGUCAAUAACCCUGUGAGAAUAGUAAAUAGAGCUCCACCCCAGCGAAGCAGCGUGAAGAGUUCAAACGCUGGAAGAUGACCCUGUAGACACACACAAACGCAGUGCUGUUCCGUAUACAAUAGAACAGAAAGGCCAAAAAUACCCUACCAAACCCAUACGCUGCGCAGCGUAGAGACCCGGCCUUGCAACACACUGAACUCCCAUUGAAGAACUCAAGACAUCAUGCAGGAUCCGUGCCCAGAAAUGUGAGCCCCCAGCAUGGUGCUCUGGAGCUGUGCAGACAUGUUUCGUCUUACGGAGCUGAGUAUCUGCUUUUCAGCAGCUGAGCCCUGGGGACACGGUGCUAGGCAGAGCAGUGAGGAAUGAGGCUUCCUUUCAGAGAGGUUAGCUCAUCUCUUAGCGUCCGUGGAAAAGAGCUUACCUCACAUUCUCACCUGGACUGUUGCCCUUAAUCUAUGGCACUCGCUAAAGAGGAAAAUAGAAUCGAGCAUGUUCAAGCGAAUGUUUUCCAUGUUUUGAUCUUGUUUCUUGAGCUCAGCUCGGAGCAGUGUGGGAAGUGCCUUUUGGGCAGCGUGUGCAAUUACUCCCAGGCCUUCCAGAAAGCAGAGGUUAGCUGUGCAAUGGACUCCGAAUGUGCAGAGAGUCUGCAAUCAGAAGUCAAAAAUAAAAUGACUAUAAUUAGUAAUGACCAAAGCAACUGGAAAUGGUGUCAGUCAGAGCCGAGCCAGCUUUCUUUUUAUCUGUCACCUAAUGAAUGAGGGCUGAGGUUAUUCUCCAAGGAUGAGAGGGCUGAAUUUUUUUCCCAUUCAAAUCUGGUGCUGUGGGACAAAUGCAAACUCAGGGCUCAUUUACUACCUUGUUUUUCAGCUAUGGAACCUGCAGGCAGGUUGUGAGCAAUUACGCUUUUCCCCAAAGCAUCUAAAAUAACACGGCUCUGCUCGCUGUCCUGGAGAGCGCCGCUGACGCCAUCCUGUCACCUUGGAGAUGGAUAAACAGCUCCAGCAACACUGGGUUAUAAUCUUUCAGGUCUGAGCUUCUAAGCUGACAGCCGUACAAUUGAGACAUGAGUCUAGCAAAGAUUUUUGAUCGUGGAAAGAGUCUAAAUGUAAGAUGAGAGGAGAAGAGAGGAGAGGAGGGGGAGAAAGAGCUUAAGCCAGGCUCAGUGACCAGGCUUUUUGCUUGGCUGCAACAGCAGUGAAUGAAA
This 2234-nucleotide long non-coding RNA is filed under the name Gallus gallus (chicken). RNAcentral's name for it is "lncRNA (ENSGALG00010029031.1)". Lineage: Eukaryota; Metazoa; Chordata; Aves; Galliformes; Phasianidae. The record is from RNAcentral.